Molecule: small RNA, 134 nt
Filed under: Salmonella enterica
Lineage: Bacteria; Pseudomonadati; Pseudomonadota; Gammaproteobacteria; Enterobacterales; Enterobacteriaceae
Also listed under: 5 other names
Description: RtT sRNA
Rfam family: RtT RNA
About the family: This family represents a bacterial cis-regulatory element known as RtT RNA. The exact function of RtT is unknown although it is thought that it may be involved in changing the cellular response in relation to amino acid starvation.
Source: RNAcentral
UGUAUCUGAAGUCUGACGAGGAUGAGAACCUCCGGGGGCAAGAGGUUCGACCCGAGCGAAGCGAGAGAACGUUGCUUCAGCAACGGCCCGCAGGGCGAGCCACGCAGUGGCGAGUCAUCCUCUAUCACCGACCA